RNAcentral lists this long non-coding RNA (257 nucleotides) under Dasypus novemcinctus (nine-banded armadillo). RNAcentral describes it as "lncRNA (ENSDNOG00000050679.1)". The record is from RNAcentral. Lineage: Eukaryota; Metazoa; Chordata; Mammalia; Cingulata; Dasypodidae.
CAGAAAUACAGUAAUCAAUCCAGGCAGUUAUUUCUUCAGAUCCUCAGGUUUUAAUAAAGAUGACCCACUGGAACUAGAAUUCAGGUAGCGGUACACUGAAGCAAGCCUAACGGGACAUUCUCCUUCUCCUUGGGACAUUCCAUCAAAAAAAGGUCACAGACCACUUAACUCUAAAUCUCACAACUAGUUCUGAAGAGCAUGGAGCCUACAUAGAAUUCUAAGGUAAAGGAUUAAUUUCGAAACAAGGCAUACUGGAU